GAUGAACGCUGGCGGCGUGCCUAACACAUGCAAGUCGAACGAAAAGACAAUGAGUUUGUGCUCUUGCCGUUAGCGGGGGGCGGGCGGGUAACGCGUGGAUCACUACCUAAUAUGUCGGGGAAAAUUACGGAAAACAGGUGACAAUACUAGCGAAUAUGUUGAACGGCUGGGUGCAUUGGAGAAUCACGGCUUUCGCGAAUGUAUUAGCCGGUUUCGGGCCGGAUUAGCUAGUUGGUAAGGUAACGGCUUACCAAGGCGACGAUGCGUAGCCGGGCUGAGAGGAUGAUCGGCCACACUGGAACUGAGACACGGUCCAGACUCCUACGGGAGGCAGCAGUAGGGAAUAUUCGGCAAUGGGCGAAAGCCUGACGGAGCAACACCGCGUGAGUGAAGAAGGUCUUCGGAUCGUAAAGCUCUGUUGUUGGGGAAGAACAGCUGUGGAAGUAAACAUGGCCGUCUUGACGGUACCUAAUCAAAAAGCACCGGCUAACUACGUG
RNAcentral lists this ribosomal RNA (497 nucleotides) under uncultured bacterium. RNAcentral describes it as "partial 16S ribosomal RNA". It matches the Rfam family "Bacterial small subunit ribosomal RNA", at positions 28 to 507 of the family's 1533-position model. The record is from RNAcentral.